CCUACGGGAGGCUGCAGUGAGGAAUAUUGGUCAAUGGACGAGAGUCUGAACCAGCCAAGUAGCGUGAAGGAUGACUGCCCUAUGGGUUGUAAACUUCUUUUAUAUGGGAAUAAAACGUUCCACGUGUGGGCUUUUGUAUGUACCAUAUGAAUAAGGAUCGGCUAACUCCGUGCCGGCAGCCGCGGUAAGACGGAGGAGCCGAGCGUUAUGCGGAUUUAUUGGGUUUAAAGGGAACGUAGGUGGAUUGUUAAGUCAGUUGUGAAAGUUUACGGCUCAACCGUAAAAUUGCAGUUGAAACUGGCAGGCUUGAGUACAGUAGAGGUGGGCAGAAUUCGUGGUGUAGCGGUGAAAUGCUUAGAGAUCACGAAGAACUCCGAUUGCGAAGGCAGUUCACUGGACUGAAACUGACACUCAGGUUCGAAAGUGUGGGUAUCAAACAGGAUUAGAUACCCGAGUAGUC
This 460-nucleotide ribosomal RNA is filed under the name uncultured bacterium. Its description in RNAcentral is "partial 16S ribosomal RNA". It matches the Rfam family "Bacterial small subunit ribosomal RNA", at positions 338 to 795 of the family's 1533-position model. The record is from RNAcentral.